GGUUGAGUAGUUAAGUUGUGAUUUUUAAUUGGUCGGGCUAGCCUAGCAUUUGUAUUGGGCUCCAUCACGACCGGAAUUGGGGUCGUGACAAUUAACUAGCGUGCCCAAAGCAAUUUCGCAUUUGUAACUUGCGAAGGACAUGAAAUUUAUCUAAAUGGCAUGCCUCGAAUUCUAAAGAUCAAUACAAAAUUGAUUAAAGCGAAGGCCAAGCGAUUGUUAUUUUUUCUGUGUGGCGUGGCGCAAGUCAUCUAACUAAAUAUUUUAAUCAAUCAAUUGAAGAAAACCAAGGAUUCUGAUUACUUCCAGUUAACAGGUUCUAUUCUAUCAAUUAUCUAGAUAUAAGAGAGCCUAAUGUCCAAAGGGAGGCGUACUAAUUAUCGGCCGAGCCUCUUUUGACGGACACCUUAGAAGUUUGGGCUCAAGAUAAGACCAAGAUUAUGCUGAGAAAUGGCGCUCAAGAGCAUGGUUUUCAAUAUUUAUUAGUUGGUCCUGCAUUAGGCCAAAUUACCAGAUUCCGAAUUGUCAUGCCAAUCGACGAAUCCAGUCGACUAAUAACAACGCAAAGUAUGAAGUCGAAGUAACAAAUCAAACUAUGGUCUAGACAUAGAUCAAUUAAAAUUAGGUUUAUUACAUGAUAUACACAUUACUAGCAAUUCAUGCCAUUAGGCUCAGAAGGCAAGCCCAACAUAUCCACCCCCCGUUUUUCUCUUAUAAAUGGCAAACGAAAAUUAAGACUCAAGAUCGAGUUUGUCCAAGUGUAAUCCUCAACAGAUUAUCAUCCCACUAAACAUUUCCACCAUCUAAUAUACUGACAGAAAUAACAUGAGAUUCAAGCUUUUAUUUCUAAAUGAAUCCCACAAAGCAAACACAGGGAAUGAAAGCUUGCAUAGACCAUUUAUAUGACACUUUCAAUUGAAUAAGACACUACAAAUCCCUCUAAACAUAGAAUAAGACCCUAGACAACAAUUUCACAUAGCAAUUAAAGAAAUGAUGAAACUAGGGUGAAAACUAUCGAAACUAUAACAUGAGUGAACUAAACUAGUAAACAUAUAACCUACAGCAACACAUACUUCCGAAACCAGCCAACUUCAUCAAUCAGCUUAGUGAUCACAUUACUCAAUUAUACAUGUACAAACUAGAAUGGCAAUUCCAGUUUUCAAUCAUAUUUAAAUGAAGUCUCACCCUUAGGAUAAACAGAUACUACAAAUGAUCAUACUUAAGUACUUAAGCUAGCAUGGGAUAUAAACCAAAAUACAACAAACAACAUGGAUAACUGAAUAAUGAGGGAUUUACACUUACAAUUUCAUGAUUUAAAUUACAUGCCUCAUACAAAAAACGAAACCCAAACUUCAUUUCAGUUUCAUAUACUUCAAACAUCUCAUACAAAAAUUCAGAUCCAUAACUUCAGCUUAUCAUUCAGUAAGUUCUGAAGAAAUACCUGGAAGAAAGAAAGCAGCAGAAGAAGAGAGUAAGAUUAGCAAGUUUACAACAUCAGUAACAAGGCAGGAAUCAAUAGCAAACGAGACCCCAACUUCAGAAAUGAACCAGGAAUUAAUUUCUAGCCAAUGGAACAGUAAUUCUCCCCCAAAAUUCUCAGCUUUUUCUCAAUGUGUAUUCCUGAAUAUAUAGCUUUUCAACUCUGAGUCUAUGUAUGUUUCUAGUUCCAUAAACUCUAUCUGUGUUACACCCUGAGUGACUCAAAAUUGAUUGAGUAGAUUAGGGUUUGAAAAGACUUCAAAGAGAGAAACCAAUCAAACAGUAAAAUAUGCAGCUGUUUUGUGAUUUUCAACUCUCAAUCUCUCAGUGUUUUCGAAGUGUUCCAGCUCUUCUCACUCUUAAGCUCUAUCUCUCAAUGUAUAUCCUUUCAGAAUAUGUGUUUGUGUGUGUCUAUUUAAAGACUAGAACCAAUCCUUUUUUUAUUCAAACCUUUCACUUUUGAGCCUGUACAUCCCCUUAGCACAUACAUCCUCUACCCUUUUAUAAUUAACCUAUGCUUGUUUUCUGAUUUUCCACUAACAAAAGUACUUAACAGGGUGUCAGCCCCACUAAUGAUCCAUUUUCAAUAGUUUAACCUAUUAAUUUAGUAGUGUUGGCAUACCACUUAUCUUAAACCAUUUAACAAACUCUUAUUCUCAAUUGGCAUACCACUUAUCUUAAACCAUUUAAUAUGCUCUUAUUCUCAAAUUAAAUCCUUUAAACCUGUGCUACUAAAUUUGAACCAAUCCUAUUAAUUAUCCCUUCCCGUUACUAAAAUUCCUUAAGAUGAGCUAUUAAGUAACAACAUAUUAUUCAGGGCCAUUCAACAAACAUACAUGAACCACAUAAAAAUCCUAAUUCAAACAAUUGCAGUGUGCCUACUCCAGAAAAAACUCAAACAACGUAAUAAAUCUAGAUUGUUUGCAAAAUUAAAUAACGAAUAAGUUAACAGUUUCAACAACAAACCUAAUAUUAAUUCUAACCAAUUGUCUGAGAGAAUAGAAAAAUAAAAAAAGAAGGAGAAGAAGAAGAAAAGACCAAAUUACAGAAAUCUAACAAGAAACUUGCCUGACCAAAAUCGAACCCAUCGACUUUAAUUUUCCGAUUUGAUCUCCAAAUAACUUCCCUCGCUCGUUCACUGUCAGGAACAAGCGAGUAUCGUUAUUUUGAUACUUAAUCGACUUUAUCUCUUUAGCCUAUUGCCCGAAAAAAGCAAAGUUUAUCUAGGCUUUCUAGGGUUCAAACCCUAGAUGUGAUAUUCGAGCCUUUAUGGUGAGAUUUGGGGGAAGCUGGUAAGGGAUUUGGGUGAGGUAGUCCGGUGAUUGUAUGGUAUCAAUUUGAGGUCAAUCGGGUAAACUAGGGUUCAACCAGACUUCUUCGAUUUGAGAUUCGAGAAACCUGGUCAAUAUUCGAGGGGAAGUGUUUGGAUAUUUGGAAUGGGGAGGUUGAGGCAAGGCUAGGGUGUUAAUUUGGAAGUCAUCGGCGAAGACGCCACCGGGUUCAGGGCGUUGGAGAGGGGUGGCAGCUGCUAGGGUUUGGGUCGUUUGGUCUCAGAUAUUGGAGACGAAGGGGAUGACGGGGCUUCAAAGGGGCGGGGGUCUAUAUAUAU
Molecule: long non-coding RNA, 3085 nt
Filed under: Nicotiana benthamiana
Lineage: Eukaryota; Viridiplantae; Streptophyta; Magnoliopsida; Solanales; Solanaceae
Description: long non-coding RNA (NBEN_LNC027220)
Source: RNAcentral